CGUCCAUGAGCACCAUAGUCUUGCUGAGUCUACCUUCAGGAUCGCCGCAGAAGCGCACCCGAGACAUCCUUCAGUUAUGAUUAAUGUCUUGUGAUGAACCGGCCUGCUUUGUAAGUUAAAUUAAAUAGUGUCCCUCCCAGGACGGACAAGGACCCAGGGUCCAAGUCCACUUAGUUAUUUUAAGUAUCUGAGAGUCUGGGUUUGGAGAUAGAAAGGUUUCGUCCCGUAGAAGGUUUUCCCUACUGUUUUCAAAUCUUAUAUCUAUAUAUAUAUUUCAGAGUUUGUAAUUAUUUGGUCAUAUCUGAAUCUUGGCUACCUGGAUACAGUUCCUGCAUGAUCUGAAUAAUUAUUUGUAAUGUGUUCCAUCAAACACACUUAGAACCUGUUUGGGAGACUCAGUAUUUGUUGGUACAAUUUUGGUAUGAAUACUAAAACUUCACCAAUGAAUACCAAUCUUCCAAACAGCCCCUAAAGGUGUAUAACAGAUUCAGUUUCAGUUGCUGAUAUGAGCACACGCAAUUGUUUGCUAACAUAAACACCUCAGCAUACACUAGUUUACAUUUCAAAGGACUUUACGAGCUUUUAACCAAGUGAUUACGUGAACAAGAUCAUGUGGAAACUGUAUUCAGGUAGCCAAAAGAUUCAGGUACGACCAACUCUGGCAUUUUCAAUUACAGGGUGUGCUGAGCAACUAAAAAAUAAACAAAAUUCAUGCUUGGCAAAUACAAGGAAGUAAAAGAAGUAAAAAUUCAAGGCACGAUUUAAGUUACAAAGGAGGCCAACUAAAAUAAUUAUUGGAUCUAACAGAAGGAUGUCUUGGGUGCACCUGUACGGUAUUCUUGAGGGGGGGGCGUCAAAAUCAAUGAAGAGGCGAACAAUGGACUCCAAGCAUCAAGCGGUGGAGAGGGAGGCGUCGAAAUCAAUCAGGAGGUUGAUACGGUGGCGGCAAAUCCAUGGGAAAGACGGAGAUCAAAAGAGGCGGCGGCGGCGGAAAAUCCAGUGGGACUGGGAGAGGCGGAAACGAGGGCAUGCCGUGAAGCCGGCAGAUCUGCUUGCGGAGAUUGAGGCUGGCAGAGGUAGCGGUGUAUGCGGGGUUUUGCGGCGGGAGGCGGAGGCGACGCCGGUGGCCAUGGCAGAGGGCGAGGUAAGGAAAGAGAAGCAGAUCGAACCAGCCUCCCCCAUUCCUACCACGGCCCGACCUGCUCGGCUGCCAAGGCCCAAUUAAAGCCCAGAAUGGGUCCAGGUGAAGCUAAAUUGAACAAAGUUCUUCCUCUUCUGGAUCUAAACUUUUUCCCUCAAAAAAGAUAAACUGUGUAUCGAAGCCCUCGAUUCAUUAUUGUAUCCAAAAUUCCGAGAGCAUGGUGAAGCCAAAGCUGAACAAAUUUGUCGUGCUACCGACUGAUGUAAUAGAGCCGGUGCUGCAGU
RNAcentral lists this long non-coding RNA (1425 nucleotides) under Brachypodium distachyon (stiff brome). RNAcentral's name for it is "long non-coding RNA (BDIS_LNC002841)". The record is from RNAcentral. Lineage: Eukaryota; Viridiplantae; Streptophyta; Magnoliopsida; Poales; Poaceae.